UAUGUAAAAUCGAUUAACCUAAGGACCUAAUUCGACUCGAUGGUUUGAGCCUAAUUUGCUUGAGCUAACCUAUUUGGACCAUUUGACUUAUUGGUGCCUAAGGUUAGUAAUUGAGAGGUGGUUAUUUAAUUAAUUUUGUUGGCUGACCUAGCCAAUUUAUUGGUAUUUAAGGAAAAUAACGGAGGGACCCCCACUGAUCUCCACUUAUCUGGCU
RNAcentral lists this long non-coding RNA (214 nucleotides) under Elaeis guineensis (African oil palm). RNAcentral describes it as "long non-coding RNA (EGUI_LNC067312)". The record is from RNAcentral. Lineage: Eukaryota; Viridiplantae; Streptophyta; Magnoliopsida; Arecales; Arecaceae.